This 440-nucleotide ribosomal RNA is filed under the name uncultured bacterium. RNAcentral describes it as "partial 16S ribosomal RNA". It matches the Rfam family "Bacterial small subunit ribosomal RNA", at positions 338 to 795 of the family's 1533-position model. The record is from RNAcentral.
CCUACGGGCGGCAGCAGUAGGGAAUAUUGCUCAAUGGGGGAAACCCUGAAGCAGCAACGCCGCGUGGAGGAUGAAGGUUUUCGGAAUGUAAACUCCUUUUGGUAGAGAAGAAAAUGACGGUAGCUGACGAAGAAGCACCGGCUAACGCCGUGCCAGCAGCCGCGGUAAUACGGAGGGGGCAAGCGUUACUCGGAAUCACUGGGCGUAACGAGAGCGUAGGCGGGAGAGCAAGUCAGAUGUGAAAUCCUAUGGCUUAACCAUAGAACUGCUUUUGAAACUGUUCUUCUAGAGUAUGGGAGAGGUAGGUGGAAUUCUUGGUGUAGCGGUUAAAUCCGUAGAGAUCAAGAGGAAUCCUCAUUGCGAAGGCGACCUGCUAGACCAUACCUGACGCUGAUGCUCGAAAGCGUGGGGAGCAAACAGGAUUAGAUACCCGAGUAGUC